RNAcentral lists this ribosomal RNA (503 nucleotides) under uncultured bacterium. RNAcentral describes it as "partial 16S ribosomal RNA". It matches the Rfam family "Bacterial small subunit ribosomal RNA", at positions 30 to 523 of the family's 1533-position model. The record is from RNAcentral.
AUUGAACGCUGGCGGCAGGCUUAACACAUGCAAGUCGAGCGGGGUGAUGGUGCUUGCACUAUCACUUAGCGGCGGACGGGUGAGUAAUGCUUAGGAAUCUGCCUAUUAGUGGGGGACAACAUCUCGAAAGGGAUGCUAAUACCGCAUACGUCCUACGGGAGAAAGCAGGGGAUCACUUGUGACCUUGCGCUAAUAGAUGAGACUAAGUCGGAUUAGCUAGUUGGUGGGGUAAAGGCCUACCAAGGCGACGAUCUGUAGCGGGUCUGAGAGGAUGAUCCGCCACACUGGGACUGAGACACGGCCCAGACUCCUACGGGAGGCAGCAGUGGGGAAUAUUGGACAAUGGGGGGAACCCUGAUCCAGCCAUGCCGCGUGUGUGAAAAAGGCCUUAUGGUUGUAAAGCACUUUAAGCGAGGAGGAGGCUCUUUUGGUUAAUACCCAAGAUGAGUGGACGUUACUCGCAGAAUAAGCACCGGCUAACUCUGUGCCAGCCGCCGCCGUAA